This 497-nucleotide ribosomal RNA is filed under the name uncultured bacterium. RNAcentral describes it as "partial 16S ribosomal RNA". It matches the Rfam family "Bacterial small subunit ribosomal RNA", at positions 28 to 507 of the family's 1533-position model. The record is from RNAcentral.
GACGAACGCUGACGGCGUGCCUAAUACAUGCAAGUAGAACGCUGAAGAGAGGAGCUUGCUCUUCUUGGAUGAGUUGCGAACGGGUGAGUAACGCGUAGGUAACCUGCCUUGUAGCGGGGGAUAACUAUUGGAAACGAUAGCUAAUAUCGCAUAACAAUGGAUGACACAUGUCAUUUAUUUGAAAGGGGCAAUUGCUCCACUACAAGAUGGACCUGCGUUGUAUUAGCUAGUAGGUGAGGUAACGGCUCACCUAGGCGACGAUACAUAGCCGACCUGAGAGGGUGAUCGGCCACACUGGGACUGAGACACGGCCCAGACUCCUACGGGAGGCAGCAGUAGGGAAUCUUCGGCAAUGGGGGCAACCCUGACCGAGCAACGCCGCGUGAGUGAAGAAGGUUUUCGGAUCGUAAAGCUCUGUUGUAAGUCAAGAACGAGUGUGAGAGUGGAAAGUUCACACUGUGACGGUAGCUUACCAGAAAGGGACGGCUAACUACGUG